UUUCUGUGCUCCUCCGAGCUCGCCGUCUGUCCGGGUUUUUUACGUUUUAAUUUGCAGGACUUGAACUGCCAUGUCCUCUGAAGAAGGAAAGCUUUUCGUGGGAGGGCUCAACUUUAACACCGACGAGCAAGCGCUGGAAGACCACUUCAGCAGUUUCGGACCUAUCUCUGAGGUGGUCGUUGUCAAGGACCGGGAGACUCAGCGGUCCAGGGGUUUUGGUUUCAUCACCUUCACCAACCCAGAGCAUGCUUCAGUUGCCAUGAGAGCCAUGAACGGAGAGUCCCUGGAUGGUCGUCAGAUCCGUGUGGCUCAUGCAGGCAAGUCUGCUCGGGGAACCAGAGGAGGUGGCUUUGGGGCCCAUGGCGUGGUCGCAGCUACUCUAGAGGUGGUGGGGACCAGGGCUAUGGGAGUGGCAGGUAUUAUGACAGUAGACCUGGAGGGUAUGGAUAUGGAUAUGGACGUUCCAGAGACUAUAAUGGCAGAAACCAGGGUGGUUAUGACCCCUACUCAGGAGGAAAUUACAGAGACCAUUAUGACAAGUGAAAUGAGACAUGCACAUAAUGUAGAUACACAAGGAAUAAUUUCUGAUCCAGGAUCGUCCUUCCAAAUGGCUGUAUUUAUAAAGGUUUUUGGAGCUGCACUGAAGCAUCUUAUUUUAUAGCAUAUCAACCUUUUGUUUUUAAAUUGACCUGCCAAGGUAGUUAAAGAUCUUUAACAGUUCCAUCUUUUUAAAAAUUUUUUCUGCCUAUUUAAAGACAAAUUAUGGAACGUUUGUAGAGCCUGAGUAUUUUUCUUUUUACCAGUUUUUUAGUUAGACCUCUCAGGAUUAUUGGAGCUAGCAAUAAUUGAUUCUGGCAAGUUUGGCCAGACUGGUUUCAGAAAAUUAAUGUGUAUCCAGGACAUUUUAAAAACCUGUACACAGUGUUUAUUGUGGUUAGGAAGCAAUUU
Molecule: RNA transcript, 948 nt
Organism: Cercocebus atys (sooty mangabey)
Lineage: Eukaryota; Metazoa; Chordata; Mammalia; Primates; Cercopithecidae
Gene name: RNA-binding protein 3 pseudogene
Exons: 1
Source: RefSeq, a predicted model, not a curated record